AGUACUGUCUAUGGUAACAUAGGUAGAGACUUCUUAGAGGGACAUUUCGGGCAUACCGGAAGGAAGUUUGUGGCAAUAACAGGUAUGUGAUGCCCUUAGAUGUUCUGGGCCGAACGCGCGCUACACUGAUGACUGCAACGAGUUUUUUUCUAUUUAGGAAAAGUCCUUUGCCGGAAGGUAUGGGUAAUCUUUUAAAUGGUCAUCGUGAUGGGGCUAGAUUCUUGCAAUCAUUAAUCUCCAACGAGGAACC
This 250-nucleotide ribosomal RNA is filed under the name Thraustochytriidae sp. Its description in RNAcentral is "Thraustochytriaceae sp. partial small subunit ribosomal RNA". It matches the Rfam family "Eukaryotic small subunit ribosomal RNA", at positions 1378 to 1610 of the family's 1831-position model. Lineage: Eukaryota; Bigyra; Thraustochytrida; Thraustochytriidae. The record is from RNAcentral.